This 497-nucleotide ribosomal RNA is filed under the name uncultured bacterium. RNAcentral's name for it is "partial 16S ribosomal RNA". It matches the Rfam family "Bacterial small subunit ribosomal RNA", at positions 28 to 507 of the family's 1533-position model. The record is from RNAcentral.
GAUGAACGCUGGCGGCGUGCCUAAUACAUGCCAGUCGAGCGAACAGAUAAGGAGCUUGCUCCUUUGACGUUAGCGGCGGACGGGUGUGUAACACGUGGGUAACCUACCUAUAAGACUGGGAUAACUUCGGGAAACCGGAGCUAAUACCGGAUAAUAUUUCGAACCGCAUGGUUCGAUAGUGAAAGAUGGUUUUGCUAUCACUUAUAGAUGGACCCGCGCCGUAUUAGCUAGUUGGUAAGGUAACGGCUUACCAAGGCGACGAUACGUAGCCGACCUGAGAGGGUGAUCGGCCACACUGGAACUGAGACACGGUCCAGACUCCUACGGGAGGCAGCAGUAGGGAAUCUUCCGCAAUGGGCGAAAGCCUGACGGAGCAACGCCGCGUGAGUGAUGAAGGUCUUCGGAUCGUAAAACUCUGUUAUUAGGGAAGAACAUACGUGUAAGUAACUGUGCACGUCUUGACGGUACCUAAUCAGAAGGCCACGGCUAACUACGUG